GAUCCACGCCCAUUGACACGUCUUACAACUUUGUCUAAUGAUUCCCUGGAAAAAUCAGCGGAACUUCUCUCCACCCAUUGUAAUUUCCAUCCCUGAUUUUGCUUUUUCCGCUGCUAAUUCCCAGCAAUCAAACAGAAAAUAUAAUCGCAAUAGCAGUAUAUAAACAGGAAGAGGGAAAAAAGAAAAAGCUGAAGGUGGAAACAUGGAGGGAAAAGAGUGGAAAGGAAGGACCUUCAGAUUGUUUAUGGGUUCUGCUACACUUUUUCGCAGAGAAAGAAGAUGCGCGCGUAAAGCUGUUAGGGGCUGUGUAUAUAGCAGCGGUGCUACUGUGGGUGCCGCUGCAUCACAGCAUAUUAAUUGCUGACGUGUUUAACGUAUUAUAUAUAAAAAAAAUCAUUCCACAAAAAGGUCAUUUGUCUUUUUCUCCCCCAAAAAUAAAAAAUAAAAAUUCUAAUGGAUAACGUUUUUGGGUUGCGAAGAACUGGAAGAGAAUUUGCCAGUUUCAGUUUCCAGAACGUGGAAGUCUCACCUCAGACAUCCCAACUACUAAGCCAACGUUAAUAUUCUAUUGGAGCAUAAGUAGUGAGAUUGUGUUAAAGAGUUGAUAAAGAAAGAUGGCAUUAAGGCCAUUAAUCUCAAGACAAAAUCUACCAACCUUCGUCUGCUACCUAAAAUCCUCUUUUCAAGCUAAGGAGAAGCCAUUCCCUCCUCAAAAGAUCCUCCAAACCAGAAUCAGUAGAAGAAUAGGAUCAAUAGCAGCAAUGGCUUCAAUUCUCUUGGCAAGGGAAGCAGAAAUUGCAUUUGCGGCAGACUGGAGAAUUCUAGCUUCUGAACAAACAAUUGAAGAGGCAGAGAGAGAGAUCAGAAGUCAUGCACAGUCUUUGCUAGAUAUUAAAGCGUUUUUGGAGUCUGAGUCUUGGCAAGAAGCUCAGAAGGCGCUGCGAAAGAGCUCUUCAAACUUGAAACAUGACUUCUAUACCAUAAUCCAAAGCAAACCAGGAAGUGAGAGGCCUUACCUCAGGAAGCUUUAUUCUGAUCUCUUCAAUAAUGUUACCAAAGUAAGUAAUUGCUAAAACAUCAUCUUCUAUACGGUUAUUAGAAUGAUUCUUGUUCUCUUAUAAGUUCACCUCUUAACUCGAAGUAGAUUUUUGGCUCCUCAAAUUCAGUGAUGUUACCAAGUAAUGCCAGAACAAAAUCAUUUGUAGAAUGUGGUUGGAAACCUCAAAAGUGCGAGAAUUCAAUUUAUUUUGGAUAUUUUAUCAUAAAAUAAUUUCAAUUUUGACACUGAUUCUAAAUGAUAUGCUAAAGAUAUGAUAAUAAACCCUUUUCUUGAACUGUGAAGAACGCGUUUGGCAGCAUAGUACCCCAAGAACGAAAACGGUUGGGGUACCAUGCUGAGAAAGCAGCAGGAGAGAAAAUCCUCAAAACAAUUGUAUUUUGUUUCUUAGAGGGUUGUGCACAGCAGCACAAACCCGAGCACCAAACUUCCUUGAAGAAAAAAGAAAAAAUUAAAAUGACAGUAAUUUCCAGGUUCACGGUUUUAUUAAUGCCUUCGACCAAAAAAAUAAAAGGAACAAAAGUUUCAUUAAUGCAAAUCUCCUUGCAUGUCUGUUUUCCAUUGAUUAUAGUUUUGGAUUACUAAUCAAAUAUUAAAGACAUAAUAUCCUAUUUUAAUGGAUUUUGCAGCUAGAUUAUGCAGCGAGGGACCAAAAUGCCUCUCUUGUUUGGCAGUGCUACGGAAAUAUUGUGGUGGCCCUUGAUGACAUUUUGGGCAGAAUAUAAGUUACAUCACACUUCCAUUCUAGUAAAAACAGUAUACUUGUAGUUUUUUGGCCUGUAAUGUAAUGUUUGACAAUUGAAAUGAUACUAAUAUCGCCUACAUACUUUCAGUAAACUGAGCACUGUUCAAAUUGGUUUUUGAUAAGAGUAAAAUAAGUAAAGAGUCUUUAGGGGGGGGGGGGGGGGGGGGG
Molecule: unclassified non-coding RNA, 1970 nt
Filed under: Hevea brasiliensis (rubber tree)
Lineage: Eukaryota; Viridiplantae; Streptophyta; Magnoliopsida; Malpighiales; Euphorbiaceae
Source: RNAcentral